Molecule: ribosomal RNA, 492 nt
Filed under: uncultured bacterium
Lineage: Bacteria
Description: partial 16S ribosomal RNA
Rfam family: Bacterial small subunit ribosomal RNA
Source: RNAcentral
AUUGAACGCUGGCGGCAUGCUUUACACAUGCAAGUCGAACGGUAACAGGCCUUCGGGUGCUGACGAGUGGCGAACGGGUGAGUAAUGCACCGGAACGUACCCAGAGGUGGGGGAUAACGCAGCGAAAGCUGUGCUAAUACCGCAUGUGAUCUGAGGAUGAAAGCGGGGGACCGAGCAGCAAUGUUUGGCCUCGCGCCUUUGGAGCGGCCGAUGUCGGAUUAGCUAGUUGGUGGGGUAAAGGCCUACCAAGGCGACGAUCCGUAGCUGGUCUGAGAGGACGACCAGCCACACUGGGACUGAGACACGGCCCAGACUCCUACGGGAGGCAGCAGUGGGGAAUUUUGGACAAUGGGCGCAAGCCUGAUCCAGCAAUGCCGCGUGCGGGAAGAAGGCCUUCGGGUUGUAAACCGCUUUUGGCAGGAACGAAACGGUGUCCGCUAAUACCGGGCGCUAAUGACGGUACCUGCAGAAUAAGCACCGGCUAACUACGUG